Molecule: long non-coding RNA, 997 nt
Filed under: Gadus morhua (Atlantic cod)
Lineage: Eukaryota; Metazoa; Chordata; Actinopteri; Gadiformes; Gadidae
Description: lncRNA (ENSGMOG00000029377.1)
Source: RNAcentral
UAAUUUGCAUACAACAUGUAAUGAUUAAACACAUUCAGUGAAUAGUGUGCGGUUCUCUAUUCUUUUGAUAUUUUCUCUAAGUUCCCUUUAAGAAAGUGUAAUUUUGGGUUUCCAUUUCUCAAUUGUAAUGUACAUAUGAUUCUUACUAUGUCUUUGCAGUUUGCUCAACCGGAGGGGGAUGACAAGACUCUGUGUGUUGAUGAGUGGCCGUUUCUUCAAACAGAGUUUUGUGAGGUAAGGGAAUGGGGGAAAAAGAGAGCAUCUUGUAAUAAUUUAAUAUUUGGGUUUUGUUGUUAAAUUUGUAUGUAGCGCCACAAAAUACAGGCAUGCACAACACUAUGUUUGUUACUGUUUUAAAUAAACUACAUUAGCAGUAAGUUCUUUGAACUGCCCACUUUUCAAUUUUCAUGCAAUUGUAUCUCAUGAUAAUUUUGCUCCCUUACCUCAUUGUUGAAGGUGAACCAGCCAACUGCUCGGGUUGUCUCUGGACAGAGAAAACAAGAGGAGCCAACACCUUGGGGUCCAAAAGUUGUGAUGGCCCAGGCUGAUAAACCAACAGCCAAUGAGACCAGCUUCUUGGGGUGUUCAACCAAGAUGACACACAUUGAGGACCACGAGCCGUUUGAACCAGCACCUGAGGUCACUGCGAGCAGUCAGCAGCAGAGCCCGCCUGAGGACAAUGGCCAGCUUGAAGAUCCUCAUGUAACACUUGGCAAUCAGCCAAGUGCACACUGCAAUAAGCAGUGUGCUACAAAUGGCAUAGCGGCGAUUAUGACCCACACCACCCAUAGCGUUCUCAAAUGGAAAAAAAAGAACAUUCAUCAUAUUCUAAAACUAGGCAAUGGCUUAGUGUGUGUACACAUCUAUGCUAGAAAAUAAGGAAAUCAGUUCAGCCAAAACCAGUGGGCAUAUUUUCAUUUCCGAGUUACCCAGACACUGCAAAUUAAACAAUAAAUUAUUUAGUUUGGAAUAUUUGAUCAAAAGGAUGAUUAUGACG